RNAcentral lists this small nuclear RNA (126 nucleotides) under Neogale vison (American mink). Its description in RNAcentral is "Neovison vison (American mink) U4 spliceosomal RNA (ENSNVIG00000010720.1)". The stretch from base 1 to 73 matches the Rfam family "U4 spliceosomal RNA". From Rfam's summary of the family: U4 small nuclear RNA (U4 snRNA) is a component of the major U2-dependent spliceosome. Lineage: Eukaryota; Metazoa; Chordata; Mammalia; Carnivora; Mustelidae. The record is from RNAcentral.
AGCUUUGCGCAGUGGCAGUAUCGUAGCCAAUGAGGUUUAUCCGAGGCGCGAUUAUUGCUAAUUAAAAAAUAGGGAAAGAAUGUGAGGAUCUCAGGAAAAGUAACUUUCUGGAGAGCUCCUUACUGU